GUUCCUGAGCUCAAACUAUCCACCUGCCUCAGCCUCCCAAAGUGCUGAGAUUAUAGGCAUGAGCCACUGUGCCGGUGACUUACCUCUAACCAACAGAAUAGAGCAACAGUGAGAGGAUGUCAAUUCUGUGGUAGGUUGCAAAAACUUGUAAGUUCCUAGCAGUCUUUCUCAUUGGUUUCAAGAUAAAAAAGCUUCUGUGCUGGAGGGACCCAUGAGGCAAAGAACUGAGAGCAGCCUUUAGAUAACAGCCAGCAAGGAAUGAGGUGCUCAGUCCAGCAACCACAGAGAAACUGAAUCCUGCUGAUGAUCAUGAGGUUAAGUGUGGAAGCAGAUUCUGUCCCAGAUGGACUUUGAUUGUGUCUUGUUAGAGACUCCUUGAUUGCACCUGUGAGAGGCCCUGAAGUGGAGGACCCAGCUAAGGUAUGUGCAGAGCAGUGAAAAAUUUGGCCUGAGAUACACGUUCCCUGCUGAGGUCGCACAAGGAACAAGGACAAGGUUAAAUUCUCCACAACUCAAACCAAAUUAGAAGCUCCCUGUUGGAUGACCAAGUUCUCUCUGAAAGUUUGUUGGUGACCACAGUUUAUUCCCUGAAACUGACUUGGCCACUAAUUCACUCUGUUCUCUUAGGUGAGUAGUUUUGUCUUUCAUUAAAUCGGAGGUGGUACACCCAUCUAGCAUUAAGAUCACCUCUUUCUGAUUUAAAAACCAUUGUCCUGGAGCUAUACUGCCAAGGUCCAAAUUCCAGCUCCGGGCCAUUUUUACAGCUGUAAAACAGUGGACUGGCCAGAUCGUCUCUCUAUGCCUCUCUUUCCUCAUCUGUGAAAUGCACCUCAUAAACUUAUUCUGAGGAUUAAAAUCAGACACUGCGUGUGAAGCUUUUUACAGUCUGGAACGUGGUAAGAACUCACUACACGUCCAAUUUCUACUUCUCACAGGAUGGUAAUCCUUCAAAUAGAUCAUUCCUACAGUCUCAUCCAGGCUCAAAUUCCUCCUGGACGUUGCAAAACAAGCACAUUUUCUCUCCAUCCACCAAAGUAUUAAAUGGAAGUUCCAACUUCCACUAAUUAAAAUAGAGAUGAUGUCAUUCAGAAAGCAGAACUGCAUUCCUCUUGCCCAAAUGUUCUUACAUCUGGUCCUAAUCAUUUUCUUCUCAUUUUUGGAUUGGAAAAAUAGAAUGCCAUGUCCAUAGGUUGUCCUUUAGAAAUUUAAGGGGUGAUUGUGAAUGAAAUGGUGUGAAGCUGGCAAAUUUGCUUCGAGUUUCUGAUGUCAGGAACGGAGCACAGGAAAGCUGAACAUCUAAAGAGGGUUUACCCAGUCCUCAGUGCGUUUUCUUUCAGAGCCCAGCCAUACAACACUACAAGUAACCACAUAGCUGCUAUUGAUGGUGAAUUCUUACUCCUUCUCCAUAGAAGACAUUUCUGGAUCAUUGUAAAGGCAGCUAGUUCUGAGUGCAAGGAAAAAAUAGGAAGCAGUCAGUAUUUCCCCACUGUCACCACUGUGAAAGCACAACAGAUCUGAGGCAUUUGAAACUGUUUAAUGUGGUCCCAUUACUAAUACUGAACCGAUCCAUACCUGAACAGAUGAGGAGAUUAAGCUGUAACCCUUACCAUCGGUUUUGAAAUACAAGUGAUUGCCCAUGAUAUAAAAACACAAAGCAAAGAUUAAAAACUCCAAAUACCUCCAGUGGUCUCUUCUGUCCUCAUUUUUCCCUGCCUUUUCAAUUCGUCUUAUUCAGGGGACAUAUUACAAAAUUGUGUUGGUACCCCAAAUAAUAAAAUACUUUACACACAGAGGAAAAUCCCUCUCAAGCGGCCUCAUUUUAUUCACCCAUGAACACAGUUAAUUUUCAGUUUUCACGAGAAUGAGGAGUUCCCAAUACACUGAAAGAAAAAAUGUCAACGUUAGCUCCCCUCGUUGUUGUUACAGAAAUAACAGGACACUUACCACUCCAGACAGCUGAGCUGUGUCCAGGUGAUACAAAUGGAUCCUACCAUUUACCUCAACUGAGUAUGCUCAGAAAACAAAUGUAACCUUAUAAAAUAAUAAAUAAAAGUGUUUUUAUGGAAUUUAUGUUUUUUGGUGUAAUAUUAGCUGUUUUUGAUAUUUCAUACUGGUGUGAUUUCUCUGUUAGCAAAUUUCAAAUUUGCUUUCUAUUAACUCUUGAUGAAUACUCAUUACACCUUAACUUUUAUACCCCUCCCAUAUAUUUUAUUUUUUCGAGACAGAGUCUUGCUCUGUCACCUAGGCUGAAGUGCAGUGGUGCUAUCUCAGCUCACUGUAACCUCUGCCUCCCAGGUUCAAGCGAUUCUCCUGCCUCAGCCACCCAAGUAGCUGGGACUACAGCUGCAGGCCUCCAUGCCCGGCUAAUUUUCAUAUUUUUGGUAGGGGUAGGGUUUUGCCAUGUUGCCCCAGGCUGGUCUCAAACUCCUGAACUCAAGCGAUCCCCCUGCCUUGGCCUCCCAAAGUGCUGGGAUUACAGGCGUGAGCCACUGUGCCCAGCCUCCCAUAAAUAUUUUAUUAUUGACAAACAAACACUAUUUAAAGAGCUUCUAUGAUCCUUUUUAAGUGCAGCUGUCCUUUUUGUAAUAUAAUUUCACAAGCUAAUUUAUCUGUUUGCACAUAAGAGGAUCCAUGAUGAAGGUCAGGUGUUUGGUUGAAAACGACAGAAGGCUAUCUCCCCAGGUGAGAUAGCAACCUUCCUUCCUCACUCCCUACCCUUCUUGCUGGUGGUCUGAUAUUUUCAUAGGGAAUAUUUGGCAAUUCCAAUGAGCAAGGACAGUCAAGUAAGUGUUGACAGUGUGCUUAAAAAAAAAAAAAAAAAAAGCAAAGCUGGAAUGGAAUCAAGAAAGGGCAAUCUUCCAAACUCAGCUUUUCUGCUUUUUAAUUUCAAGUAAUCCUCCCAAGGAAAACAGCAAUUUGCAAACCCUUUAAUAUUGUCACUCCAAAGGCAACACAAGGAUGCUUCCCAAUUUUCGAAAUAAGAAUGGUUCUAUGUAUACUAUUUAUCCUUCAGAAGUAUAAUAUUUUCUUUCCUGUAUAGAGGUAAGGUUUUAAAGAAAAGAUAAGGCAGGCUGAGCAAAUCACCUUCUGAAAUCAAUUAGAGUUGGGGUGCAG
Molecule: non-coding RNA, 3114 nt
Organism: Macaca mulatta (Rhesus monkey)
Lineage: Eukaryota; Metazoa; Chordata; Mammalia; Primates; Cercopithecidae
Source: RefSeq, a predicted model, not a curated record